UUUUACGGUGGGCGGCGGCAACG
RNAcentral lists this unclassified non-coding RNA (23 nucleotides) under Arabidopsis thaliana (thale cress). Lineage: Eukaryota; Viridiplantae; Streptophyta; Magnoliopsida; Brassicales; Brassicaceae. The record is from RNAcentral.